RNAcentral lists this ribosomal RNA (468 nucleotides) under uncultured bacterium. Its description in RNAcentral is "partial 16S ribosomal RNA". It matches the Rfam family "Bacterial small subunit ribosomal RNA", at positions 28 to 507 of the family's 1533-position model. The record is from RNAcentral.
GACGAACGCUGGCGGCGUGCCUAACACAUGCAAGUCGAACGGAAAGGUCCUGCUCUUGUGGGUUGCUCGAGUGGCGAACGGGUGAGUAACACGUGAGUAACCUGUCCCUGUCUUUGGGAUAACUUCAGGAAACUGGGGCUAAUACCGGAUAUGAGCUCCUGCUGCAUGGUGGGGUAUGGAAAGUUUCGGCGGUUGGGGAUAGACUCGCGGCUUACCCGCCUGUUGGUGGGGUAGUGGCUUACCAAGGCUUUGACGGGUAGCCGGCCUGGGAGGGUGACCGGCCACAUUGGGACUGAGGUACGGCCCAGACGCCUACGGGAGGCAACAGUGGGGAAUAUUGCACAAUGGGCGGGAGCCUGAUGCGACAACGCCGCGUGCGGAAUGACGGCCUUCGGGUUAUAAACCGCUUUCGCCUGUGACGAAGCGUGAGUGACGGUAAUGGGUAAAGAAGCACCGGCUAACUACGUG